UUUAUAGUUCCCAUUUUAAAAGACCGCUUUAUUUGCCAAUCACCUGAAGGUGUGUAAGGUCCCGUCCCUAAUACAAAAGUUUAUUGAAAGCUUUUAUUGUGAAAAUAAUGAAAUAGUAACUACACAACGUUUGAAAUAGUUCCGAUUGAUUCAUAAGCAAUCUACACAUGGAGUCAAAAUCAAAUAUUCUAGCUAUUGGAGCGGAGACCGAAGAACCUUUGGACAAAGCAUCGAGAUUAAAAAUUCAGAAACGUAAUUUCUACUUACAGUUUACGAAACGUUUGCAAAAACUGCUUCUGGGUGGAUCUCGUCCCCUGAAAGAAGACCCCGAUGAGGAUGCAGUGGAAAGGUUUUGCGCCACAAGCACUCGCAGAACUGGGACCCAGUACUACGAGUUCAGGCCAGACGACUAUACAAAGGGCAUUGUUCUAUCUGGGCCAGCAUUCGAUCCCAAAGGCCUUAUUUUAAUAGUCAAGGAGAUGAUCAGCAAAGAACACUGGAUAAACGAAAGUGUGAUUAAGUAUCACAAUAAUUCUAUAUGUGAGAUACAGGAACUGGUUUCGGACGCCUUAGUGGAGGAGGACCGAAGAAUAUAUAACUACUUGUUAUAUUUGCAAGCAAACCGAUACAAUCAAUGUAAAUAAAAAAUGAAGCACUAUAUCAAGUCCACCCUAAAAAAAUUGUGAUUUACCAUUCUCAAAAGUUUAUUAACAAAAACAAACCAUCACUAAUGUUGUGCUUUGAUCUGAGCUUUCGUUGAGUUAAAUUUAUUUUAUUAGUAAGUCAUAAAACAUCUAUGUACUCUAUAUUUAAUUUCGAUCAGAACUGAAAAUGUCGUCGAAAUCUAAUAUUUUGAGUAUAGCAACAGAGGCUAGUGAAAUUGAGGAAAGAAAACCGAUCUUAAAGAACAACAGAGCCUCUUUUGAAGAAGAUUUUAAAGAGCACCUGCAGAAAAUUCUUUUGAAUGGAGCUAAACCGCUGCUUAGUAAUCAGUCUGUAAAAAAAUUCUCAGUAAAUGAGUUUAGGAAAAAUGGCCACCAGUUCUACGAGUUUGUAUCGGAGCCCAAAUACAAUAAGUGGCUUACAGUCGGACCAUCAUUCGAGCCCAAGGGUGUCCUUGAACGUGUUAAGGAUCGAAUAAGCAAGGACCACUGGAUUGCUGAUAACGUGGCGAAGUACAAAAAGGAUUCCAGAGACUUUAUACAAACAACUGUUAGGGAUGCCCUACAUGAGGAACAAAUAGAAAUCUAUCGGUAUCUGUGUUAUCUAAAAGAAAAUGUUAAUAAAAAAUGAAAUGCUAUAUAUAAUA
Drosophila biarmipes is the source of this 1309-nucleotide long non-coding RNA. RefSeq lists it as uncharacterized. Lineage: Eukaryota; Metazoa; Arthropoda; Insecta; Diptera; Drosophilidae. The transcript has 2 exons. The record is from RefSeq and is a predicted model, not a curated record.